UACAGAGGUCCCAAGCGUUGUUCGGAUUCAUUGGGCGUAAAGGGCGCGUAGGCGGCUCGGUAAGUCGGGUGUGAAAUCUCGGAGCUUAACUCCGAAACUGCAUUCGAUACUGCCGUGCUUGAGGACUGGAGAGGAGACUGGAAUUUACGGUGUAGCGGUGAAAUGCGUAGAUAUCGUAAGGAAGACCAGUGGCGAAGGCGGGUCUCUGGACAGUUCCUGACGCUGAGACACGAAGGCCAGGGGAGCAAACGGG
This 253-nucleotide ribosomal RNA is filed under the name uncultured bacterium. RNAcentral's name for it is "partial 16S ribosomal RNA". It matches the Rfam family "Bacterial small subunit ribosomal RNA", at positions 524 to 776 of the family's 1533-position model. The record is from RNAcentral.